CCUACGGGCGGCAGCAGUGGGGAAUAUUGGACAAUGGGCGAAAGCCUGAUCCAGCCAUGCCGCGUGUGUGAAGAAGGCCUUCGGGUUGUAAAGCACUUUCAGUGGGGAAGAAAGCCUUGGGGCUAAUACCCUCGAGGAAGGACAUCACCCACAGAAGAAGCACCGGCUAACUCCGUGCCAGCAGCCGCGGUAAUACGGAGGGUGCGAGCGUUAAUCGGAAUUACUGGGCGUAAAGCGCGCGUAGGCGGUCUGAUAAGCCGGUUGUGAAAGCCCCGGGCUCAACCUGGGAACGGCAUCCGGACCUGUCAGGCUAGAGUGCAGGAGAGGAAGGUAGAAUUCCCGGUGUAGCGGUGAAAUGCGUAGAGAUCGGGAGGAAUACCAGUGGCGAAGGCGGCCUUCUGGACUGACACUGACGCUGGGGUGCGAAAGCGUGGGUAGCAAACAGGAUUAGAUACCGGGUAGUC
Molecule: ribosomal RNA, 464 nt
Filed under: Vreelandella stevensii
Lineage: Bacteria; Pseudomonadati; Pseudomonadota; Gammaproteobacteria; Oceanospirillales; Halomonadaceae
Description: partial 16S ribosomal RNA
Rfam family: Bacterial small subunit ribosomal RNA
Source: RNAcentral